CGAAGAAUAGUUUAAAGGAAAUAAAAUAUUAAUUUUGGAUAUUAAAGAUAUUGUUUUUCUUCGA
Molecule: transfer RNA, 64 nt
Filed under: Faxonius luteus
Lineage: Eukaryota; Metazoa; Arthropoda; Malacostraca; Decapoda; Cambaridae
Also listed under: 2 other names
Description: tRNA-Pro
Source: RNAcentral